Molecule: ribosomal RNA, 403 nt
Filed under: uncultured bacterium
Lineage: Bacteria
Description: bacterial SSU rRNA
Rfam family: Bacterial small subunit ribosomal RNA
Source: RNAcentral
GUGGGGAAUAUUGCACAAUGGGCGAAAGCCUGAUGCAGCAACGCCGCGUGAGUGAUGAAGGCCUUCGGGUUGUAAAGCUCUGUCUUCUGGGACGAUAAUGACGGUACCAGAGGAGGAAGCCACGGCUAACUACGUGCCAGCAGCCGCGGUAAUACGUAGGUGGCAAGCGUUGUCCGGAUUUACUGGGCGUAAAGGAUGCGUAGGCGGAUACUUAAGUCAGAUGUGAAAAUCCCGGGCUUAACUUGGGAACUGCAUUUGAAACUGGGUAUCUAGAGUGCGGGAGAGGAAAGUGGAAUUCCUAGUGUAGCGGUGAAAUGCGUAGAGAUUAGGAAGAACACCAGUGGCGAAGGCGACUUUCUGGACCGUAACUGACGCUGAGGCAUGAAAGCGUGGGGAGCAAACA